Molecule: ribosomal RNA, 251 nt
Filed under: uncultured bacterium
Lineage: Bacteria
Description: partial 16S ribosomal RNA
Rfam family: Bacterial small subunit ribosomal RNA
Source: RNAcentral
AACUAGUAAAGUGGCGAACGGGUGAGUAAUGCGUGAGAAUCUACCCUUUAGUGGAGAAUACCUUCGAGAAAUCGAAGUUAAUACUGCAUAAGUCCCUUCGGGGAGAAAGAUGGCUUAUUUUAGCUGUCGCUAUAGGAUGAGCUUGCGUGCUAUUAGCUAGUUGGUGGGGUAAUGGCCUACCAAGGCGAUGAUGGCUAGUCGGCCUGAGAGGGCGUACGACCACACUGGAACUUAGACACGGUCCAGACUCC